GGCCAUAGAAGGUGAUAGCCCUGUAUCUGAAAGGGCCAUUUCAGUGAAGACGAGUAGGGCGGGGCACGUGAAACCCUGUCUGAACAUGGGGGGACCAUCCUCCAAGGCUAAAUACUACUGACCGACCGAUAGUGAACCAGUACCGUGAGGGAAAGGCGAAAAGAACCCCGGAGAGGGGAGUGAAAUAGAACCUGAAACCGUGUGCGUACAAGCAGUAGGAGCUCCGCAAGGAGUGACUGCGUACCUUUUGUAUAAUGGGUCAGCGACUUACUGUUCGUGGCAAGCUUAACCGUAUAGGGGAGGCGAAGGGAAACCGAGUCUGAUAAGGGCGCAUAGUCGCGGGCAGUAGACCCGAAACCGGGUGAUCUAGUCAUGCCCAGGGUGAAGGUGCGGUAACACGCACUGGAGGCCCGAACCCACUCCCGUUGCAAAGGUAGGGGAUGAGGUGUGAUUAGGAGUGAAAAGCUAAUCGAACCCGGAGAUAGCUGGUUCUCCUCGAAAGCUAUUUAGGUAGCGCCUCAUAUGUAUCCUCUCGGGGGUAGAGCACUGUUAUGGCUAGGGGGUCAUCGCGACUUACCAAACCAUUGCAAACUCCGAAUACCGAGACGGACUGUAUGGGAGACACACGGCGGGUGCUAACGUCCGUCGUGAAAAGGGAAACAACCCAGACCCACAGCUAAGGUCCCAAAUUUUGUGCUAAGUGGAAAACCAUGUGGAAAGGCACAGACAGCCAGGAGGUUGGCUUAGAAGCAGCCACCCUUUAAAGAAAGCGUAAUAGCUCACUGGUCGAGUCGGUCUGCGGGGAAGAUUUAACGGGGCUAAGCACAGAACCGAAGCUUGGGGUGCAUAACUUUGUUAUGCGCGGUAGAGGAGCGUUCCGUAAGCCGUUGAAGGUGGAUUGAGAAGUCUGCUGGAGGUAUCGGAAGUGCGAAUGCUGACAUGAGUAACGAUAAUGCGGGUGAAAAACCCGCACGCCGAAAGCCCAAGGUUUCCUUGCGCAACGUUAAUCGGCGCAGGGUGAGUCGGCCCCUAAGGCGAGGACGAAAGUCGUAGUCGAUGGGAAGCAGGUUAAUAUUCCUGCACCUCGCGUAAGUGCGAUGGAGGGACG
This 1108-nucleotide ribosomal RNA is filed under the name Stenotrophomonas maltophilia. RNAcentral's name for it is "partial 23S ribosomal RNA". It matches the Rfam family "Bacterial large subunit ribosomal RNA", at positions 353 to 1474 of the family's 2925-position model. Lineage: Bacteria; Pseudomonadati; Pseudomonadota; Gammaproteobacteria; Lysobacterales; Lysobacteraceae. The record is from RNAcentral.